RNAcentral lists this long non-coding RNA (433 nucleotides) under Gossypium raimondii (Peruvian cotton). Its description in RNAcentral is "long non-coding RNA (GRAI_LNC003699)". Lineage: Eukaryota; Viridiplantae; Streptophyta; Magnoliopsida; Malvales; Malvaceae. The record is from RNAcentral.
GCUGGGCUGCGGCGCUAGGCAGUGUGCGGCUAGGGUUUCUACUUUGGUGGAAUUUUAGUUAGCUGUUGGGUUUGGGCUUAGGGUUAGUUUUGUUUUAGGUUAAUUUUUGGGCUAUUAGAUUAUUGGGUUUUGGUUGGUCUAGGGCUUUUGUAAAUGGACUGAACCCUUAACUUUUAUUUUUGUUUUGUUUUUUGUUUUUUUAUUAGUUUGUGUUUGGUUUCUUUAGUGGGUCAGGCAAAUUUGGGCUUCUACAGCUGCCCCUCUUUGCUCAUUGUCGUGUAAGGGGAAUGAAACAAAUACUUUAAAAAGGCCAAUUUUGCCCGGUCUAGCAGAGUCUUGACUUGUUUUGGUGCUUCUCCUCUUCAAGUAGCUUUAUUCUGCUCCACUACAACUUCAGGAAGAUAAGACUGGAUGCAAUCUGCUCUUCAGAGAG